UACGUAGGGUGCAAGCGUUGUCCGGAAUUAUUGGGCGUAAAGGGCUCGUAGGCGGUCCGUCACGUCGGGAGUGAAAACUCGGGGCUCAACCCCGAGCCUGCAGUCGAUACGGGCAGGCUAGAGUCCGGCAGGGGAGACUGGAAUUCCUGGUGUAGCGGUGAAAUGCGCAGAUAUCAGGAAGAACACCCGUGGCGAAGGCGGCUCUCUGGGACGGUACUGACGCUGAGACGCGAAAGCGUGGGGAGCGAACAGG
Molecule: ribosomal RNA, 253 nt
Filed under: uncultured bacterium
Lineage: Bacteria
Description: partial 16S ribosomal RNA
Rfam family: Bacterial small subunit ribosomal RNA
Source: RNAcentral